RNAcentral lists this ribosomal RNA (257 nucleotides) under uncultured bacterium. RNAcentral describes it as "partial 16S ribosomal RNA". It matches the Rfam family "Bacterial small subunit ribosomal RNA", at positions 333 to 604 of the family's 1533-position model. The record is from RNAcentral.
UGGGUCCUACGGGGCGCAGCAGUGGGGAAUAUUGGACAAUGGGGGGAACCCUGAUCCAGCGACGCCGCGUGAGUGAAGAAGUAUCUCGGUAUGUAAAGCUCUAUCAGCAGGGAAGAAAGAAAUGACGGUACCUGACUAAGAAGCCCCGGCUAACUACGUGCCAGCAGCCGCGGUAAUACGUAAGGGGCAAGCGUUAUCCGGAUUUACUGGGUGUAAAGGUAGCGUAGACUGCUGAGCAAGUCUGAAGUGAAAUGCGU